UACAGAGGUCUCAAGCGUUGUUCGGAUUUACUGGGCGUAAAGGGCGCGUAGGCGGCCACUGCAAGUCGGUUGUGAAAUCUCCGGGCUUAACCCGGAAAGGUCAAUCGAUACUGCAGGGCUAGAGUGCAGAAGGGGCAACUGGAAUUCUCGGUGUAGCGGUGAAAUGCGUAGAUAUCGAGAGGAACACCUGCGGCGAAGGCGGGUUGCUGGGCUGACACUGACGCUGAAGCGCGAAAGCUAGGGGAGCGAACAGG
Molecule: ribosomal RNA, 254 nt
Filed under: uncultured bacterium
Lineage: Bacteria
Description: partial 16S ribosomal RNA
Rfam family: Bacterial small subunit ribosomal RNA
Source: RNAcentral